Pteronotus mesoamericanus is the source of this 1428-nucleotide long non-coding RNA. RefSeq lists it as uncharacterized. The transcript has 3 exons. Lineage: Eukaryota; Metazoa; Chordata; Mammalia; Chiroptera; Mormoopidae. The record is from RefSeq and is a predicted model, not a curated record.
UGUUGGGAACGACCGAGGAACUGGUACCGCGGAGCCUUUCCGGGGAAGUGGUAGGAGCCUCAGGGUGUUGGGAAUCGCCAUCUGGUGGACACAGUUAAUGUAAACACGAUUUCCUGUAACUCUUGGAAUUCUCAAACCCAGGAUUCCUGGACACUGCGGAGACGCCGACCGCGUCCUUCUGAUUGUCGGGGCGCCCGCUCAACGGUAGCCCUUGGGAAUUAUAGUGAAAGAAACACUUAUAAGUGCGGCCUCGGACUGGCUGGGGAGCCGACUCUACCAGCGGCCGCUCCGGCUCAGAAUCGGGCCGUCCACUGCUUGUUUCCUAGGUGAGGAAGGGCACCCGUGCCUCGGAGACGCGUUUGAGAAGUAGAACCAGGCUCUAGGUGGCUAACUGCGCCACCUGGUGGACAACGUUAGUGUAACCAUGAUUCCUUAAAACUCCGGGAAUUUUAAAAACCUAGAUUUCUCAGACUCUGCAGGGCUGCCCACCGCGCCCUUCCGCAGGUCGGAACGCACACCCCAGUAGCCUCUUGGAAAUAAUGAGGAAAAAAUGUUCGAAGUGUGACGUACAUCAAGCGCGAGAGCCUGGACUUCAACUCCCAGAGGGCGUUGGACUUGAACUCUCAGAACGCGUUGCUCCCAGAGAGAGGAAGGGACAGAGGAAAGAAGAGAAACAUCGACUGCCUCCCAUCUAUACCUGGACCAGGGAUCAGAUGCACAAACUAGGAGGAGAAGGCUCCCGAGGAAGGCGAGGCUGCAUUUGACUCCGUGGUGGGACCUAGGCAUUCCCCACUCGGAAUCCCGACCGUCCACAUCACAGCAGGCAACGGAUGCAGGUCCGGCUGGCUCCAUUUUCUGAAGCGGCGGGCCGGCUAUCUCUCCGACUGUGCCCCCAAGAGACAGAAGACUCUGACCACUGGCGCCAAGGACAGGACCUCACCAACCCUCUUCUCUGACCCUGGAACCCCCAACUCUUUACCCGGCCCCGCCCACUCGGCCCUGCCCCGCCUCCCCAGAUGACAGCCGCCGUGGGCCCCAAGGAACAAAACGGACUUGUCACAGUCACGCGCGGUUGGGUACACACCAGUGCCGGAGACCCAGAGAGGACGCCGGAUCCCCUCCUAGCUCGACCUCCGCCGACCUGGCCACCCCCGAUCUCGCUUACGGGCAGAACGAUAGCACAAAGGCCUCUCCGCCACCAGCCAGGACUGCGCCUGUGCCAGUAGUCGGCGAACUACAGCUCCCAGAGGGUGGCGCGCUCAUAUCCGGUUACUCUAAUCGCCCCGCCCCCACAUGGGACGCCGGAAGAGCACCGGCAAGGUCAGAGCGCGAGAUUGGCCUCGUGGACUCAGCUGGUCCACCACGCCCGGGACCACUCACCGUUAGAUGGCGUCACAAAGGCCGCGGCCAUCGUGUCAGCGGGGCUCG